Molecule: transfer RNA, 73 nt
Filed under: Trichodon trichodon
Lineage: Eukaryota; Metazoa; Chordata; Actinopteri; Perciformes; Trichodontidae
Description: tRNA-Asn
Source: RNAcentral
UAGGUGGAUGCUCACUGGCUUGAGCACUUAGCUGUUAACUAAGAGUUUGUAGGAUCGAAGCCUGCCCACCUAG